GGCUCAGGAUGAACGCUAGCGGCAGGCUUAACACAUGCAAGUCGAGGGGGUAAUUGGGUUUUUCGGGUACCCAAGUAGACCGGCGCACGGGUGCGUAACGCGUAUGCAAUCUACCUUUUGCAGAGGGAUAGCCCAGAGAAAUUUGGAUUAAUACCUCAUAGUAUAGUACUUUGGCAUCAAGGAACUAUUAAAGUCACAACGGCAAAAGAUGAGCAUGCGUCCCAUUAGCUAGUUGGUAAGGUAACGGCUUACCAAGGCUACGAUGGGUAGGGGGUUCUGAGAGGGAGAUCCCCCACACUGGUACUGAGACACGGACCAGACUCCUACGGGAGGCAGCAGUGAGGAAUAUUGGACAAUGGGCGCAAGCCUGAUCCAGCCAUGCCGCGUGCAGGAUGACGGUCCUAUGGAUUGUAAACUGCUUUUAUACAGGAAGAAACACUCCGACGUGUCGGAGCUUGACGGUACUGUAAGAAUAAGGAUCGGCUAACUCCGUG
Molecule: ribosomal RNA, 494 nt
Filed under: uncultured bacterium
Lineage: Bacteria
Description: bacterial SSU rRNA
Rfam family: Bacterial small subunit ribosomal RNA
Source: RNAcentral